UCCUAUAUGCAUUGUAGGUUGAAUUUGCUGGGGGUGCUUUGAGAUGUGGCGAGUAUGUCACCCUACGCAAGGGUACAAAUGCAAGUCAAAAGGGUGGUGGUUCUGGUACACAACAAGUUGUCAUUGAAGGGCCCUUAUGUGAGGAUUAUUAUAAAAUUCAGGAUCUAUUGUAUUCACAAUUUUAUUUGUUAUAAUUGAGAAACCUCGUUGAACAUGGAAGAUAUGACCCCAUCAAUUUGAAUUGCCUAGUUGGAAAUGUAUUGAUUUUUUUCUC
Molecule: long non-coding RNA, 274 nt
Organism: Cucumis melo (muskmelon)
Lineage: Eukaryota; Viridiplantae; Streptophyta; Magnoliopsida; Cucurbitales; Cucurbitaceae
Exons: 2
Source: RefSeq, a predicted model, not a curated record